RNAcentral lists this long non-coding RNA (1079 nucleotides) under Varroa destructor (honeybee mite). Its description in RNAcentral is "uncharacterized LOC111254562, transcript variant X1". Lineage: Eukaryota; Metazoa; Arthropoda; Arachnida; Mesostigmata; Varroidae. The record is from RNAcentral.
CAAUACGCAGCUGCAUGCUUUCAGGUGCAUAGUCGGACGUAACAAUGUCACGCGUGCUAGGGCCGCUCGUACCUACCUGGCACAUAGGCCGUUUAUAAAAUAAUCGACUUUGUUACAUUAAGCCAAGUGCCGUAUACUCGCCGAAAACGGUAUCCAUUAUCAUCUCGUGAGUUGGGGUGUUAUACGUCCUCUAUAGUUGCGAGAGCUAUGGAUGAGUUCAUCCGACCACGGCAAUGACAUCCCAUCUAUCCAUCUACAGUCUAUCGAAGCCGUAAUGUGUCCUAGCACGCCUAAAUGGAUCGGAUCACCUAUCUAGAGCCAGGCCUUGUCGCCCUUCUGGAAAACGUCCAUGCGCCACUCAGAUGACUCCGAUGGGAGUACUAAAUCAAAAGGUAUACAACGUUGAGCGCUUUUAUCCAUUCCAAAUUCACUGUGGGUUGCACUCAACACUGGGCUGUUUUUUCGCGAAGCUCGAUUUUGCCUUCAGGGUUAGCUGCGAGCAAUGGCAUAGACCUUCAAGAUGCCCCGAAGCUAAACAUAUCCUAUUGGAUUCUAAGCCGCCAGGUUUGUCGAAUAAAAAGCCUUCCGGUAGCUUACGCUCAUAUUUUCAGGUUCACCUCCUCUAGAGGACUGUAGAUGCUGAACGGGGUCCGUUUCUUGCAUCCGUAAUGCUGUCAGACCGCCAAACCCUAUAAGGCCGAUUUUCGCGAUUCCCUGAUGCCACCAGUCGUCCCAACGCAGGCGUCUUCCAUAUUAUAGUUGUCCAUGAUAUCGACUGGCUUGCAGCUAGCCAGCAACAGAAUGCUAGUCACCACCAUCUACCUGCGCCACCAUCUUAUCGCGUGUGUGUAUUAGCAUAGGCACCAGGGAACUUUGUCCACACCAACAACGUACGACGGGCUGAGUCAACGGUACAACGCUGACACAAGCACUGCCGAGAUGAGGGUUCAGGUCUCGUUGGACGUACUUGCGAGUUACCUAUUGUCAACACCACAGCGAAUUGCCAUUGUUGAUUGCCAAAUUUUAUCACGAUACCAAUAUCGAUAACAAUAAGCACCGUUAACUCUCACUAGCUAGCA